RNAcentral lists this unclassified non-coding RNA (244 nucleotides) under Hevea brasiliensis (rubber tree). The record is from RNAcentral. Lineage: Eukaryota; Viridiplantae; Streptophyta; Magnoliopsida; Malpighiales; Euphorbiaceae.
UCGGAUCCGGCGUCAACGGCGUGACCGGCGACUACAGCCGUGGCGCUGCCGGUUUCUGGAUCGAGAACGGCCAACUGACAUAUGCGGUGAGCGAAGUGACCAUCGCGGGUCACCUGCUGGAUAUUUUCAAAUCGAUGGUUCCCGCCAACGACCUUGCGUUCAAGUACGGCGUCAACGCACCCACCGUGCGCGUGGGGGAACUGACGAUUGCCGGUCGCUGAUUCCGAUAUGAUCAGCGAUACCG